UCCUCUGUCACGAUUUACCCAAUUCACAA
RNAcentral lists this small RNA (29 nucleotides) under Bombyx mori (domestic silkworm). Its description in RNAcentral is "ovarian small RNA-27885". The record is from RNAcentral. Lineage: Eukaryota; Metazoa; Arthropoda; Insecta; Lepidoptera; Bombycidae.